UACGGGGGGAGCAAGCGUUGUUCGGAUUUACUGGGCGUAAAGGGCGCGUAGGCGGUCAGCACAAGUCAGUUGUGAAAUCUCCGGGCUUAACUCGAAAAGGUCAACUGAUACUGUGCGACUAGAGUGCAGAAGGGGCAACUGGAAUUCUCGGUGUAGCGGUGAAAUGCGUAGAUAUCGAGAGGAACACCUGCGGCGAAGGCGGGUUGCUGGGCUGACACUGACGCUGAUGCGCGAAAGCCAGGGGAGCGAACGGG
Molecule: ribosomal RNA, 254 nt
Filed under: uncultured bacterium
Lineage: Bacteria
Description: partial 16S ribosomal RNA
Rfam family: Bacterial small subunit ribosomal RNA
Source: RNAcentral